AUUGAACGCUGGCGGCAUGCCUAACACAUGCAAGUCGAACGGUAACAGGAAGCAGCUUGCUGCUUUGCUGACGAGUGGCGGACGGGUGAGUAAUGUCUGGGAAACUGCCUGAUGGAGGGGGUUAACUACUGGAAACGGUAGCUAAUACCGCAUAACGUCGCAAGACCAAAGAGGGGGACCUUCGGGCCUCUUUCCAUCGGAUGUGCCCAGAUGGGAUUAGCUAGUAGGUGGGGUAACGGCUCACCUAGGCGACGAUCCCUAGCUGGUCUGAGAGGAUGACCAGCCACACUGGAACUGAGAAACGGUCCAGACUCCGGCGGUAGGCAGCAGUGGGGAAUAUUGCGCAAUGGGGGCAAGCCUGAUGCAGCAAUGCCGGGUGAAUGAAGAAGGCCUUCGGGUUGGAAAGUACUUUCAGCGGGGAGGAAGGAAGGAAAGUUAAUACCUUUGCUUAUUGACGUUACCCGCAGAAGAAGCACCGGCUAACUCCGUG
Molecule: ribosomal RNA, 490 nt
Filed under: uncultured bacterium
Lineage: Bacteria
Description: partial 16S ribosomal RNA
Rfam family: Bacterial small subunit ribosomal RNA
Source: RNAcentral